Molecule: transfer RNA, 75 nt
Filed under: Ruminococcaceae bacterium OttesenSCG-928-A16
Lineage: Bacteria; Bacillati; Bacillota; Clostridia; Eubacteriales; Oscillospiraceae
Description: tRNA-Gln
Rfam family: tRNA
About the family: Transfer RNA (tRNA) molecules are approximately 80 nucleotides in length. Their secondary structure includes four short double-helical elements and three loops (D, anti-codon, and T loops). Further hydrogen bonds mediate the characteristic L-shaped molecular structure. tRNAs have two regions of fundamental functional importance: the anti-codon, which is responsible for specific mRNA codon recognition, and the 3' end, to which the tRNAs corresponding amino acid is attached (by aminoacyl-tRNA synthetases). tRNAs cope with the degeneracy of the genetic code in two manners: having more than one tRNA (with a specific anti-codon) for a particular amino acid; and 'wobble' base-pairing, i.e. permitting non-standard base-pairing at the 3rd anti-codon position.
Source: RNAcentral
UGGGCUGUAGCCAAGCGGUAAGGCAACGGACUUUGACUCCGUCAUUCCAUGGUUCGAAUCCAUGCUGCCCAACCA